CCUACGGGAGGCAGCAGUGGGGAAUCUUGCGCAAUGGGCGAAAGCCUGACGCAGCAACGCCGCGUGCGGGAAGAAGGCCUUAGGGUUGUAAACCGCUUUCAGUAGGAACGAAAAUGACGGUACCUGCAGAAGAAGGUGCGGCCAACUACGUGCCAGCAGCCGCGGUGACACGUAGGCACCAAGCGUUGUCCGGAUUUAUUGGGCGUAAAGAGCUCGUAGGCGGUUCAGUAAGUCGGGUGUGAAAACUCUGGGCUUAACCCAGAGCCGCCACUCGAUACUGCUGUGACUUGAGUUCGGUAGGGGAGCAGGGAAUUCCUAGUGUAGCGGUGAAAUGCGCAGAUAUUAGGAGGAACACCGGUGGCGAAGGCGCUGCUCUGGGCCGAUACUGACGCUGAGGAGCGAAAGCGUGGGUAGCAAACAGGAUUAGAUACCCUGGUAGUCCACGCCGUAAACGUUGGGCACUAGGUGUGGGUUCCAACCAACGGAAUCCGCGCCGUCGCUAACGCAUUAAGUGCCCCGCCUGGGGAGUACGGCGGCAACGCUAAAACUCAAAGAGUAGUAGACGUCGNGAGACGCGACGACGACGACGACGGAGGAGAG
This 600-nucleotide ribosomal RNA is filed under the name uncultured bacterium. RNAcentral's name for it is "bacterial SSU rRNA". It matches the Rfam family "Bacterial small subunit ribosomal RNA", at positions 338 to 1533 of the family's 1533-position model. The record is from RNAcentral.